RNAcentral lists this transfer RNA (85 nucleotides) under Victivallales bacterium. RNAcentral describes it as "tRNA-Leu". It matches the Rfam family "tRNA". From Rfam's summary of the family: Transfer RNA (tRNA) molecules are approximately 80 nucleotides in length. Their secondary structure includes four short double-helical elements and three loops (D, anti-codon, and T loops). Further hydrogen bonds mediate the characteristic L-shaped molecular structure. tRNAs have two regions of fundamental functional importance: the anti-codon, which is responsible for specific mRNA codon recognition, and the 3' end, to which the tRNAs corresponding amino acid is attached (by aminoacyl-tRNA synthetases). tRNAs cope with the degeneracy of the genetic code in two manners: having more than one tRNA (with a specific anti-codon) for a particular amino acid; and 'wobble' base-pairing, i.e. permitting non-standard base-pairing at the 3rd anti-codon position. Lineage: Bacteria; Pseudomonadati; Lentisphaerota; Lentisphaeria; Victivallales. The record is from RNAcentral.
GCGAGAGUGGCGGAAUUGGCAGACGCGCGAGAUUUAGGUUCUCGUUCCGAAAGGAGUGCGGGUUCGAUUCCCGCCUCUCGCACCA